UGAGUUCCAUAAGCGUGAAUACACAGAUAAGCGUAGCAUAUGAACAGAAACAAUACUCUCCGAUGGGUGAUAACAAUGGAGUGCUAGACAAAGGGUAAAUAAUCAGGGAAGUGAUGAAGUCCAGGUGUGUCUAAUGAUGAGGCACAGGUGUGCGUAAUGAAGGUUGCCAGGUGUGCAUAAUGAUGGGUUUGCUAGGACUGGUGGUUAGUAGACCUGCGAGUGCUGGAGAGGGGUAACGGGACUAGACGUGACAAUUACCUACAGAUCUACAGCCUCAGGCACAAGUUCUGAAACACAGGCCUAAGGGAACUUCUGGAGCUUCGGGCAGAACAUUAGUUCACCAAACCCUUUCAGGAGUCCAAAUAAUCAUAGCCCUAUACAUUAUAUAUGAGGACUCCAUCUCGUCUCGUUCCUGUGAGUCUAAGUCGCGAGAGUUCCAGUCAAGUGGAAUGGGUGCAGGAACUGAGCGGAGGAGCUAUUUUCAGCCAGCCAAGACCCAGGAGUUGUCCGUCCUGAGCACAAGCACUUCAGCUGUCUGAAAACUCACAAAAACCCUGCAGCCCACUGGGACUGAUCACUUUAUCAAACUGUUUCAAGAUAUGCACUCUGCAUGCCAUAGGGUUCACUGAAAGGAGGGGGAUAUAGCAGGAGCAGUGUACCCUAUAGGGACAGUUUUUAAUGACUACGAGACUUACAUAACAGAAAAAACUUGUAGCCCUUUCCUGCAGUCAAAUUACCUAUGAGUGGAAUGUUAUUCAUAUUUUUCAUCAUUUUAUAAUUAAUAAGCUUUUUCUUUUUAAACCCGCAGAUAAUCCGGUGUUUCUAUGUCAAACGGCUUUGUUAUAUUUCAGUCUUCUGUGAUGUAUAUAAAGUGUAAUAUUGGGAUGCAAACUCAAAAAUACAUUUCAACUCCAUAUCUGACAUGGUACAGAUGUCUUCUUUUUUGUAAGUCCAUAGCCAUGUGUGUGAGGUGUAUACUUUUGUUCCAAAGUAGAUUUUGUUUAAGACUACCAAGAAACACUCUGUGUGACCCUGAUUUAUCCCGCUGUAGUAAAAUGUAACAGCUAGUUUUGAAUUAUUGUCUAAGACUACAACUAGGUCACAGAGGUUUUUUCUGGUUAGUUUUCACAUCAAAGAAACAUUCCUAGCCCAAUGGAGAGACCUGUCCAUAGUGGUUGUAGCUGGUCAUUAAAGU
Molecule: non-coding RNA, 1195 nt
Organism: Oncorhynchus mykiss (rainbow trout)
Lineage: Eukaryota; Metazoa; Chordata; Actinopteri; Salmoniformes; Salmonidae
Source: RefSeq, a predicted model, not a curated record